RNAcentral lists this ribosomal RNA (254 nucleotides) under uncultured bacterium. Its description in RNAcentral is "partial 16S ribosomal RNA". It matches the Rfam family "Bacterial small subunit ribosomal RNA", at positions 524 to 776 of the family's 1533-position model. The record is from RNAcentral.
UACGGGGGGAGCAAGCGUUGUUCGGAUUUACUGGGCGUAAAGGGCGCGUAGGCGGCCAGCACAAGUCAGUUGUGAAAUCUCCGAGCUUAACUCGGAAAGGUCAACUGAUACUGUGCGGCUAGAGUGCAGAAGGGGCAACUGGAAUUCUUGGUGUAGCGGUGAAAUGCGUAGAGAUGUGGAGGAAUACCGAUGGCGAAGGCAGCCUCCUGGGCCAACACUGACGCUCAUGCACGAAAGCGUGGGGAGCAAACAGG